GCUCACAGGGCUUGGCCUUCGAAUCCAGUUAGUUCAUGAGACUUACAAACAAAAGAAGCCAGAAUCUCUGGGUGUAGGCUCUCCAUUAUACUGGCCAGCCUAGAUCCCUCGGAAACCAAUCUGACACUGGUUCCCCGUUUUCCUAUGUUAUAUGUUCCUGUAAAGGGCAUAGAGCACCGAAUGGGCAUUCACACCAUCUCAGUAUUGACACAGCUGUGUUAAUGAAGCUACUGGAGUUGCCAUGGAAUUGAACACUGGAUAUACAUCUGGGAUUUUUCCAGUUUCUCCAGUUGUGCUACUGAUGGUACCGCUCUGACUGAAUUUAGAAAGCAGUAAUAAGUAGAAGAGAGCGUCCUUCUUUUUCUCUUUCCAAAAGCUGACACUUUGCGUCUUUAGCAGCUCCUGAGUGCCUUAGGAUAUACGGUACUGUACAGCAUCUUCCUACAAAGGGCCUUUUGUGUUACGCAGAAUCAAGGUAAGCACGAAAGAGCCUCUGCUCGCUUUAGAGUUCUGCGGCUCUGGAAGACUGAGACUAGCUGUACAUAAAUCAAGGCAAUUACAGAUGAAAAAGCUGCCAGAUUGUUUCCUAGAGUUUUCUGGAGUUUUGGGGGGUUGGGGAUUUUCUGAGUGUUUACUAUUUGACUUUAAAUGACUAAAGUGCUGGGGAGCCCACUGCUGUCUCUGAAGGAGCUAUUGCAUAAACUUCAUUGCUAGGAAUUCUUCCCCGAUUGUUCAGCCUAAAUUUUCCCCUGAUCUCUUUCAUUGUUAUUCAAGUCACAGUUCUUUGUUUUCAAAACUCUUCCUAUUUUUUCAUGUGUGCAUCUUUAAUCUACUGAUAAAUAUUUAUCUCUCAUAUCAAAUGUCACUUGGAAAAUGUUUUAACUUUUCAGAACAGCUCAAGCAAUGGUGCUGAGUAUCUUCCUGGAUAUGGAGAAGAGUCUGCCCUUUCCCAAUCAGAAAAUGUCUGCAGAGGUCCGGAUGCCGCCUAAUAUAUUGUUACCAUUCCUGUCCCUGAUAGGAAAGUCCACAUUAUUAACCACAGAUGGGGAAUCAAAGCUAUAGACACUUCAGCCCUGUUCUAAAGACAGAUAGAAUUAGAGUAUUAUACUGUAAAUGCUUAAUAUAACUAUUCUCCUCUUCUUACUGUUUCUUAAUGUAAUUUACUGCUGGAGCAGAAUUGAAAGAGUGGGAAUUCCCCAGGACUUUUUGGAAAGCAAUAUGAACUAGACCAUAUGGCUUCUGUAUGUAAGGCUUUGAGAAUUAGAUGUUAGUAAUUGUCAAUAACUUCCAAAAGAGAAAACAUGAAGAAUGAUUCUUUUAGUAAAAUAAGCUUUGGUGUGUAUUUAAAAACCACUGUAUUAAUAAUGAAUAUUAUAAAGUAGGAGAUAAUAACCAUGGUAGUCUUUAUACUGAGCAUGUCUCACAUGGUCAAAUAACCUAUUUUCCUAGAUCUGUCUACACAGCAGGUAAAGUGAAUUGUUCGGGCUAAAAGUUUAGAAACAAUCUUUCCUCUGAGAUGAAAGUUGGGGAUGAAUUGAGGCAGUUCACUCCAGGGACAACUCCUUCCAAAACAAUACAGCAUCUAAGGACCGUACAGAAGACCUGGCUCAAGCAGUGUGCAGGGAAUACAAUAAAGGGGUAUGUGUGGAUAUAGCCAGUUUGUACUAUCUCUCCUGGGGAACCAGAAACUUCUCUAUGAGGAGGACUACUACAGCAGCUGUAUACUCAGACUCAACCACUUUUUUUAGCAUUACAUUCAUUUAAAAAUAAGUUUUAAGACAAUGUUUAUGCUACUGUCUAUAGUGUCCUCUAUAAUCUUUUAGGAAAGAUUUCUCAGUCUUCAUAGUGUGGUUUUGAUACGUACUGUGUGUUAUCUAGUUCUUGGGUUCAAAGAUCCUUACAUACAAUUGGCUUAAAUCUGCUGGCUUUCUCUUAAAAAGGGUAGCAGCUUUCAUAGCAGAUGCAUCUCAUUCCUGCAUCUAUCAGCUGUCAAACAUCUUUUAUAUCUGUUAGCAUUUAUAUCUGACCGGUUGCUGGCACAUCUACUGUUGGAGAUCUCUUUACACAGUUUCAGAAGCAGUGCCUGGUUAUGUGCAAUUACUGAUGGGUUUGGAAGCCUCUGAGCCUUUAUAACCAAAUUGCCUUAUUUCUAUAGUGCACAUAGGAACAUUCGAAUUUAAAUCUGUUUUCCUUUCACACUACUUCUCUCCCUUUCCUAUAUUCAGAAUAAAAUUUUUUAGUUUAAAAAUAUGUGAAUUGGUCACAGAGAGUGGGUAGGGGUAAUAACAUACUAGAAAAGACAGUACGAAGGGAAUGGAUGUUGUAUUAACUUUACAGUUUGGGCUGGGAAGGGAUUGGGCAAAGCAGAAGAGGGUAUGCCAGUCACCUUGUCUCAAACUUUCUACAAGGACAGUGCCUCCCUUUUAUUCAUCUGAUUUCAUGAGGUUCCUCCAACCCCUCCCCAUGGCCUGCGUCAGGGUCCUGCCUGCAUCCCACCUCUUGGAGCUUGGCUGCCAGGGCUCAGGGUCAAUGUAGAAAUAGCACAGCUGGUAUAGAAGGUUGCAUUUAAGUCUUUCUUAAUAUUUAAGGGGUGCAUGUCAGCUUGUUUGUCAUCCCCCGAAGGUUGUGGCCUACAGCUGAAGAAACACUCUGUGUGUGUGUGUGUGUGUGUGUGUGUGUGUGUGUGUGAGAGUGUGUGAGUGUGUGCGCAUGCAUGCACACAUGCGCAUGUAUAACAGAAAGGAAGAGGGUGAAGCAAAAAGUUGUGAGACUGGUUGGGAUGAAAAUAGAGGCAGUUAUGCGCCACAGCUUAGAUGAAAAGACUCAGGGAGAUCAGCACGUGGCAGAGAAACUGCAGGCAAAUGCGCUCCAUUUCUUAGGCUAACAUAGCUCCCAGAAAUCUUAAUGUCUUCCUGCCACAGGGAAAGUAAGGGACAACAGCUGCCCUCAGUUUAUCCCAGUUCAUACUCCUGUAUCUGCAGUGGAGGAAGCCCUCCUAGAUGCUGGGUGCUACAUCAUGUAUGUGCUGUGCACACCUUUUAUGAUGAGUAUUCCUGUGCUUUUGUCUCUGUUGUAUUUUAAGAGAGGACUUGAAGAGGAGCCCAAGGCUGUAUUUGCUAGAGAGGACUUGAAGAGGAGCCCAAGGCUGUAUUUGCUGACAGGACACUUUGCUUACCCAGAGAAGUGGACUCAGAGCCAGGACUGAAUCAAGGCAGUUUUUAAAGGGGAAAAAUUGACACAGUUUACUAAUCGACUAUGAAUGGCCAGAGAAGAGCACAGAGAUGUCCUGCUUCCUUUGCUUACCUCCAGAGGACCAAUGCUGCUGUUCCCACUAGCCCUACCAGGGGAUUGGCCACAGAUUUUAUGCUUCUGUAAUUCUGGGAGUAUUACCUGAAGAGCCUGUGGGAAGAAACACAGUGAAUGCCCUUGCAUUGCAGAAGAUGGUCUAUUUGAAAACUUAAAACCAGCUCUUCUUCAAGACCUUCACCUUCCUCUGUGGAUGGUAUUGACUCUGAUAAUAAACAUUCAUAUCUGCUUUGAAUUACUUGGUCAAAGAAAAUACUUUGAACUUCUCAUUCAAGUUCAGGCAAAUAAACUUGAAAGGCAUGUCCACCUGAACACUUCAUAGAACAGAUGAUUAGAGUUGUGUGAAGGACUGAUUUCUUCACUUCAGCACUAAAACCAAAAUAUUUGCAGAGAAAAAAGAACGUCAUCCAAAAAAAUACUUAUAUCUAUUUUUUUCUCCCUGAAAUGAAGUAAACAACUAAAUUACAAUCAUUCUUUUUUUUAUAUUAUUUUGUGAAGAGCUGUUUCUUAACCUCAGACAAAAUGUUGCAUUACCUGCUUUUAAUAACAGAAAAGGAAACAAAGGCCAAAGUUUGUGAACUAAAAAGAGGAGUGAGUGUUUUGCCAUUUAAUAUGUAGAUUGGUGUUUAAGGGAUCCAGUUCCCUAAUCUGGGAAAGGAGAUUUGAACUUGAAGAUUUGAGGAGUGUCAACACAUGCUCAGAUCAAAAUAGGAUUUUGACAUGGGCUUCCUUCAAACUCCCUAGCUAGAACAAACUCACUGUCUUUCAAUAAUUGUUUGCAAGUUUUAUUGAAAAAAUAGAAUAGAAAAUGACACCACAUUUUCAUGGGUAGGAAACUCCAUGGUAGGAGACUUGAAGUCAGAUCCUGCUGUUGGAAUACAAAUCUGAACCAAGGACUCUCAUGUUUCCCUAAGAGUCCUUCUGUCAGUUGCUCUCCAAUCUGUUUUACCAGAUUUGUUCAUUUUUUUCUGGAAUACUUCUCCCCCCUCCCUUGUCCCGAUCCAAUAUCGGGGGGGUUUCAUUACGAUCCCAAGGACGAGAUUAAGACGCUAAAACUGGUCAAAUAGCGUACAACCUUUUAACUUUAUUUUCCAUGGAGCGGGGAGAAAAGGUGGGGAAAGGUGAAGGGGAUGAGAGAGAGAAAGAGAGAGAGAGAGAAAGGGGGAGAGAGAAAGAGAGAUCACCACCCGUGGAUCCAGCGGCAUCCCGUUGGUCCCCUUCAACCUGGGUGUAAAUUUUAGCGAUGCGCGUGCAGUAAUUACAACUCGAGCAGGGUCUGACCCUAGGUUCCCGCUGAAAAGUUCGGAGCCAAAUCAAGGCAAAUUAAAUAAAUAAAUUGUAAUGACACGCAUGCAGUAGUUACAGCUCAAGUUGGGUGCCUCCGAAGAGGGACCCCGAACAAAGAAAUUCCUGGGCAAUUAUACUUUCCAGUCUAAGCUCUCCACCCUUCACGCAGUAGUUUGGACCAAUAGUAAUAUUUAGGUCUGGGGUCUCCUGCUCCUUAUUGGGUCCCUAGGUAGGUUGUUUACUGUUGCGGUUUCUGCUGACAGAUGCGUUUUCAUUCUUCGGGUCUUGCCCUUAUCUCUCAAAGCCCUGACAAUUUAUUACUUCCCCAGCAGUGAUAGUAGGUGUUAUCUCCC
Molecule: long non-coding RNA, 4946 nt
Organism: Dromaius novaehollandiae (emu)
Lineage: Eukaryota; Metazoa; Chordata; Aves; Casuariiformes; Dromaiidae
Exons: 4
Source: RefSeq, a predicted model, not a curated record